UGCCCUGGGUGUGGAGCGCCGGCCAGGUGUGGGCUUGGGUGGUUGGUUACCGCCUUUUGCCCUGGCGGCCGCGAGGAGGGGGGUGGGCGCUUUCUUUUUCUCUUGGAAGAGGCUUUUAGCACAGGUUUUCUCGUUCUCACUUCCAACCCCACCUCGCCACCUCCCGAACCCCCUCCUCCCCCUCCCCACCUAUCGUCAUGACGGCGUCUCCGGAUUACUUGGUGGUGCUUUUUGGGAUCACUGCUGGGGCCACCGGAGCCAAGCUGGGUUCAGAUGAGAAGGAACUGAUCCUGCUGUUAUGGAAAGUCGUGGAUUUGGCCAACAAGAAGGUGGGACAGUUGCACGAAGUACUAGUUAGACCGGACCAGUUGGACCUGACUGAGGAUUGUAAAGAAGAAACUAAAAUUGACGCCGAAAGCCUGUCUUCCGCGCCGCAGCUGGACCAAGCCCUCCGACAGUUUAACCAGUCAGUGAGCAAUGAGCUGAACAUUGGGGUAGGCACUUCCUUCUGUUUGUGUACUGACGGGCAGCUUCAUGUCAGGCAGAUCCUGCAUCCCGAGGCUUCCAAGAAGAAUGUAUUACUACCUGAAUGCUUCUAUUCCUUUUUUGAUCUUCGAAAAGAAUUCAAGAAAUGUUGCCCUGGCUCACCUGAUAUCGACAAGCUGGACGUAGCAGCGAUGGCCGAGAGUCUAAACUUUGAGAAGAAUGACUCCGUCUCCCGAUACGGAGCCUCUCAAGUUGAAGAUAUGGGGAACAUAAUUUUAGCCAUGAUCUCAGAGCCUUACAAUCACAGGUUUUCAGAUCCAGAAAGAGUAAACUACAAAUUUGAAAGUGGUACAUGCAGCAAGAUGGAACUCAUUGACGACAACACAGUCGUGAGGGCCCGAGGCUUGCCCUGGCAGUCUUCAGAUCAAGACAUCGCCAGGUUCUUCAAAGGACUCAAUAUCGCCAAGGGAGGUGCAGCCCUCUGUCUGAAUGCUCAGGGAAGGAGGAACGGAGAAGCACUGGUUAGGUUUGUGAGUGAGGAGCACAGAGAUCUAGCCCUGCAGAGGCACAAACAUCACAUGGGGAACCGGUACAUCGAGGUUUACAAAGCAACGGGUGAAGACUUUCUUAAGAUUGCUGGAGGGACAUCCAAUGAGGUAGCCCAGUUCCUCUCCAAGGAAAAUCAGGUCAUCGUCCGCAUGCGGGGGCUCCCUUUCACCGCCACCGCUGAGGAGGUAGUCGCCUUCUUCGGACAGCAUUGCCCUAUCACCGGGGGAAAGGAAGGCAUCCUCUUCGUCACCUAUCCGGAUGGUAGGCCGACGGGAGAUGCCUUUGUGCUCUUCGCAUGUGAGGAAUACGCUCAGAACGCCCUACGGAAGCACAAGGACUUGUUGGGUAAAAGAUACAUCGAGCUCUUCCGGAGCACGGCGGCCGAAGUGCAGCAGGUGCUGAAUCGAUUCUCUUCAGCCCCUCUGAUUCCACUUCCAAACCCUCCCAUGAUCCCGGUGCUAACUCAGCAGUUUGUGCCCCCCACAAAUGUAAGAGACUGUAUUCGUCUGCGAGGCCUUCCCUAUGCUGCCACCGUUGAGGACAUUCUGGACUUCCUGGGGGAGUUUUCCACAGAUAUUCGGACGCAUGGGGUUCACAUGGUGUUGAACCACCAGGGCCGCCCGUCAGGAGAUGCCUUUAUCCAGAUGAAGUCUGCAGACAGAGCAUUCUUGGCUGCGCAGAAGUAUCAUAAAAAAGUCAUGAAGGACAGAUAUGUGGAAGUCUUUCAGUGUUCAGCUGAGGAGAUGAACUUUGUGUUAAUGGGGGGCACUUUAAAUCGAAAUGGCUUAUCCCCACCGCCAUGUAAGUUACCAUGCCUGUCUCCUCCUUCCUACACGUUCCCUGCUCCUGCAGCCGUGAUCCCUACCGAAGCUGCCAUUUAUCAGCCAUCUCUGCUCUUCAGUCCCCGGGCACUGCAGCCCUCCACAGCAUACUACCCGGCAGGUACUCAGCUCUUCAUGAACUACACAGCCUACUACCCCAGCCCCCCAGGUUCGCCUAAUAGUCUUGGCUACUUCCCUACAGCCGCCAAUCUUAGCAGUGUCCCGCCCCAGCCCGGCACGGUGGUCAGAGUGCAGGGCCUGGCCUACAAUACUGGAGUUAAGGAAAUUCUUAACUUCUUCCAAGGUUACCAGUAUGCAACCGAGGAUGGACUUGUCCUCCACACAAAUGACCAGGCCAGGACUCUAUCCAAAGAAUGGGUUUGUAUUUAAGGGCCCGAGCAGUUAGAUCGUCCUCAGAAAAGAAGGUGGCCAACUAGAUGGCUCACUUGCUGCUCAUCCAGGACUGUCCCUAGGUUUGCGUCGCCCAGUGCCGCUCUGUGCUGCUCAGCGUGUAGGAGCUCGCUCUGCUCUGCCUGUCCCUGUAGCGAGGUCCCGGUUUACAGUCCUUGGAUCUUCACCUCCUCGAACUGCGUCAUCUUCCACCCAUAGAUGUCAUUGAGCUGUCGACCCCCAAACAACAGGGAACUGCACUUGGGAAGAAUGUUUCCUGUUCCUUACACACACGCGCGCGCGUCCCAUCAUGUUCUAACAUGAAGGGUGUUUUGCCUACGUGUAUAUUUGUGUACUACAGAGGCCAGAAGGGGUCGUCCUUAGCGAUGACUCUGUAAUCCCAGCACUUGGAGAAAGAUGGAAACAGGAGCUGGAAGGCGCAAUGCCAGCAUGGGGCACCCUACGCUAGCGUCUUUAAACAAACAACUCGUCAGAAAUUUGGACUUUGAUUCUUUUUUUUUUUUUUUCUUUUUUGUUUGAUUGAGACAGGGUCUAUUAGCCCAACCUAGUAUUUCAUACCUGGUGAGAUCAGUUAUCUUUUAAAGUUCCUGUGUCAGCUGUCCAGUCCUUUAGAGGCUGAGGCAGGAUUUCCAUGAGUUCCAGACCAGCCUAGACGGCACAAGAAGAACCCUGUCUCAGAAACUAAACCCAAAUCUCAGUGAGCUUCCAGACAGACUCAGGCUGGUCUGCAGCAUGAAACCUUCCUUGUCUCUAAAAGGAAAAGGAAAAAUAAUUCUCUUGUGUACACAAUACUUUAAUGAUAGUUUAUGACAAAAUAAGACAGUGUUUUAACAUGCAUCGUGCCAGAAAGGACAGACAGAUUUGUGAGUGUUUGCAUGUAAAACUUCACAAGUUAUCUUCGGGUCAUGAUAUUUGUUUUAUUGUUGCUAAAGAAGAAAAGGAAACUUUUUUUUUUCCCUGUGUCCUGAUUUUCUCUUUCCUGUUGUUGAAAUGCUGCAGCUUCAUCGUUAAGCCCUGACGUGCCACUGACAUCACAGAGACUAAGAAGCAGGUCUGAGGAGGCCAAGCAUCUAAUGUCCUCUUAAUAAUAAUUCUGACCCUUCCCCAAACACAACAGCUUAGGAUGGCAUACACUUUUAGGAGCCCAUAAAGUGUUUGAAAGACGCACAGUGAUCCUGAAACCGUCAGACAAGAAAGCUUCCAGCAAUUCCAGGGGACAUUUGCCUACACUCGGGCUGCAGUAUUUUCAGCCAGCCUGACUGGACAGCCGGCCUGGGCCUCAUCUUUUGGUGGAGUGAAAAAAGUUGAGCCAGUAAAGCCAAAUCUUUUUGUUUUUCCCCACGUGCACUGGCAAUGAGUUUAUUGGCCAUUUAGGGCAGUCACACACACAAAGACAAAGUACAAGGCAAUGAAGGACAGAGACCUGCAGCAUAGUCCCGUCCCCUGUCCCCUUCAGCAUUGUCUGCCUAACCUCCUCAUGACCCUCGUGUCCUCGUGGGCCUCAGAGAAGGCCCCCUCCUCCUUGCCUCACUCACACAAAGACCCACUUGGAAGCCAAAUCUUAAUAGCAAGCAGCACCCACGCACCUGGCUCCUUGCUGAGGGCAAGUCGGAAUUUAAAAUGUGAAUUUGACGUCAAAUGUCUCACUGCCAGCUAAAGUGGCAUUAAUUACUUCCUAAGUUUAAGUCUUAGAGUAAAACAUUCCACUAGUGCCCACCAUCCACCAUUAAUUGCUACGGAAGCUUCUUUGUGUGUUCCCACUCUUCUGUCUCCCCGUUCUCUGUAAAAUAAAACUCUCUUGCUAAGUAAUUUAAGUGUAAGUUCUUAGAAUACUUAAAUACCAAACUAAGAAAAGGAAUAAAAUAAAACUAAUAUUUCCUCAAAUAUUAGUUUUCAUCAAUAUGCCAGCAUGAUGCCUUAUAGUUAAAAACAGAUUUUUUUUAAAGCACCUCAGACAGACUGGGACUGUGGCUCAGUGGGAGAGAGCUUGCCUAGCAUGCUUGAGCCCUGGGUUCUAAUCCCGGCACCUCCUCCACUCAUGCCUAGUGAAAGGGUUUGGAUGUCUUCUCAGCAGGUACCGGUUGUAAAUAAGAAUGAAGUAGGGGCCAAAAUUGGAAACCAGAAGUGAAGCAGCUAUGUGUAGUUAGUAAUUUCUAGUGUGAGCUGUAACUGAGUGUUCAGCUUCAUAUGUAUUAUUUUAUAUUGUACUUUUUUCAUUGUUGAUGGUUUGGACUUUAAUAAGGAAAAACUCCAUAGUUUUUAAUGUCACAGAAAGAAGAUAUUUCAACAGUGUAUUCUGGAAGCAAUAUACUAACCAAAGUGAAUGCUUGUACAUAUUACGAGCCCUCUUCCCCAGUGCCUCAAUUGUCAAGUACUUAAAGCCUGUAAAACCGUGAGACUGUAGUCACUUGCAGACUGACGUGAUCGCUGAUGCGGCAGCGUGGAAACCAGCGCUCCAGAAGUGCAAUCCUAGACGCUAACCGGCCCUCUGCCUCGUGUAACUCAAGGGGAAAGUGAUUUGAUUCAAUGCACGAAUUUCUUUGUUGCUUGUGUUGUCCUUUGCUUGGAUGCAAUGCCAUGCAGCUUUUGCGGCUGCGAUUUUUAGUUAUUUCGCAUUAACACCCUCACUGGAGUCAACAUUACCCUCUUACUUGACCAAUAUUAGCCCUUCAACUGCAGCAGGAAGAGAAGACGAAAAAAAAAAAACAUUUUGUGGGAAAAUUGUUGAGAUCCGGCACUCGAAAUCAAACAAGAAUAAAAGUUCAUACUUGAUGCCUUAAGCCACUCCUGCCCGAAGCUCUGAGGGGCUUAGAUGGGCAGCGAUGCUUGCUAUAGUACUACUGUAUUUUUUGUAGAAUUGUUCACUAAUAAAACUUGCCUGCUUAAUCUCAAGGUCGGCAGUCUGUUCCUGACGAGGCUCGUGGGGGAGGUAACAGGUGGACCUUUCUGUUAGUGGGACGUCCUUUGCCCUCGUUUACUGUACACAGUUACAAAAGCUUCCAACAGCCGGGCGGUGGUGGCACACGCCUUUAAUCCCAGCACUCGGGAGUUCGAGACCAGCCUGGUCUACAAGAGCUAGUUCCAGGACAGGCUCCAAAACUACAGAGAAAUCCUGUCUCGAAAAACCAAAAAAAAAAAAAAGCUUCCAACAAGAGGCUCUUGAGUUCUGGAAAUUUCAACACCUGUGACGUAUUUGAACUUGCAUCUUUUGUGUUGGGCACCUGUCCAGGCCCGUGUGUGUGAAGUUAUUCUCCAACGUAGAUUUGAGACAGGAACGCCACUGAAUCUGCAGCUCAGUGAUGAUUCACCCCCCAGUGCCGGGGUUACCAUGGUUACCACCAUGCCCGUCUCCAUGAUUCACCUCCCAGUGCCGGGGUUACCGGGGUUACCAUGGUUACCACCGUGCCCGUCUCCAUGAUUCACCUCCCAGUGCCAUUAUCUACAGUUCCAGCUCUUUGUGUAGAGACAGGGUUUCACUAAAUUCUCCAACCUAGCAGU
RNA transcript from Alexandromys fortis (reed vole), 5765 nucleotides. It is a transcript of the gene named epithelial splicing regulatory protein 1, with no coding region annotated. The record is from RefSeq and is a predicted model, not a curated record. The transcript is spliced from 17 exons. NCBI's taxonomy places the organism in Eukaryota, Metazoa, Chordata, Mammalia, Rodentia, Cricetidae.